CACCAUAACUCAUAAUUUGAUCACACAAGAAAAAUAGUUCCUCUUUAGCCAGACAGGUUUCUUUCCAUGUUUUCUUUCUGUACCUCUCUUCAGUUUGGCCAUUGUUUCAAGACACUGAGUUAAGCCAAUGCCUUCGUGGUGGAUCCCACCUCUCAUCCAUCGCCUUCCAUCACAAUAGUACCAAACUAUAUCUCUCUGCCAUCUUUGCUUUAU
Molecule: long non-coding RNA, 213 nt
Filed under: Vigna radiata
Lineage: Eukaryota; Viridiplantae; Streptophyta; Magnoliopsida; Fabales; Fabaceae
Description: long non-coding RNA (VRAD_LNC000962)
Source: RNAcentral